CACGUAGUUAGCCGGAGCUUCCUCCUCGGCUACCGUCAUUAUCGUCACCGGGGACAGAGGUUUACAAUCCGAAAACCGUCUUCCCUCACGCGGCGUCGCUGCAUCAGAGUUCCCUCCAUUGUGCAAGAUCCCCCACUGCUGCCUCCCGUAGGAGUCUGGGCCGUGUCUCAGUCCCAAUGUGGCCGUUCAACCUCUCAGUCCGGCUACCGAUCGCAGCUUUGGUGGGCCGUUACCUCACCAACUGGCUAAUCGGACGCGAGUCCAUCUUCCAGCGGAUUGCUCCUUUGAUCCCAGAACCAUGUGAUCCCGGGAUGUCAUGCGGUAUUAGCGUCCGUUUCCGGACGUUAUCCCCCUCUGAAAGGCAGGUUCCUCACGCGUUACUCACCCGUCCGCCACUGAAACUGUCCGAAGCAAGCUCCGGCCAGUUCCCGUUCGACUUGCAUGUGUUAGGCGCGCCGCCAGCGUCGUCCUCGUGCCGCGGAUCGAACUAC
Molecule: ribosomal RNA, 491 nt
Filed under: uncultured Oscillospiraceae bacterium
Lineage: Bacteria; Bacillati; Bacillota; Clostridia; Eubacteriales; Oscillospiraceae
Description: partial 16S ribosomal RNA
Source: RNAcentral